CAUGUACCCUUGCCACACAAGUUAUAGCAGGAUGACAACAUUAUCCCACUGACUAUCCCAUACAUGACAAAAACAACCCAUUUCCAUCUUUUUCUUUUUGCUGCAACUGCGGCUUCUUCCCGCAACUUAUUAUUGCUUUCUAGUAAACCAUUAACCACUGUGAUACUCCGGCUCGUAAAUUGUGGGUCGUACCACCCAAAAUAAUUACAUGCGUUACUCCCCUGCAUCUGAAAGAUAAUAUAAAUUACACAUCAAAUAAUGUCAAUAUAUGAAUCAACAAGUUUAUAGUAGCCAGCUUUACCCUAUAUCUUGAACAACCAUAAAAUCUCCGACCCGGAUUAUUUUGUGUCCAAGAGGUCUUAAUCGUACAGGGCAAUCCACAGUGGCAGAGCGGUGUGGAUUGGUUGCUUCGACUGCUCGAAGUUGUAAAGCUUGAAUCCAUCUAACUUAUAAUAUUAUAACAAUAAGAAAUACGUACAAACCGACGCAAUAUUACGACAGAUAGUAAGCACAAAUAUUGAUUAUAAAUAUGGCACACACCAUCAAAUAAUUAAAAAACCUUAAAUGCCAGAGUUAUAUGCACAUAACAUCAAUAGCGGAGCUUAUUGUCUAAUAUAUACUAUUGUAGGUGGAGAAUCAACAAAAUCAUCAUCACUAUCACAACUAAUAUAUGUCCUAAUCAGUCGAGGUUCACUAUGCACAGUUCUCUUCGUUCGAUAUAUUAUACUGUUCUUUGGAGGUGGAUCAACAAAAUCGUCAUCGCUGUCACCGGUAUCAGAGAUUGUAGUUUUUGAAACCACGUUCACUCGUAAUUGAUUUACACUUGUACGCAAAGCACAUUUUCGGCCCGUACUUAAUAACUUGGAGUGCAAUUUUCUGUACAUGCUUUGAAACUCGACCUAC
This 903-nucleotide long non-coding RNA is filed under the name Ananas comosus (pineapple). RNAcentral's name for it is "long non-coding RNA (ACOM_LNC017973)". The record is from RNAcentral. Lineage: Eukaryota; Viridiplantae; Streptophyta; Magnoliopsida; Poales; Bromeliaceae.